AGAGUUUGAUCCUGGCUCAGGACGAACGCUGGCGCGCGCCUAACACAUGCAAGUCGAACGAGAAAGUCCGCAAGGAUGAGUAAAGUGGCGUACGGGUGAGUAACACGUGGAUAAUCUACCCUCUAGUGGGGAAUACCGCUGGGAAACCGGCGACAAUACCGCAUAAUCUCGAGAGAGGAAAGCAGCAAUGCGCUGGAGGA
This 200-nucleotide ribosomal RNA is filed under the name uncultured bacterium. RNAcentral's name for it is "partial 16S ribosomal RNA". It matches the Rfam family "Bacterial small subunit ribosomal RNA", at positions 8 to 225 of the family's 1533-position model. The record is from RNAcentral.